Molecule: transfer RNA, 76 nt
Filed under: Neisseria canis
Lineage: Bacteria; Pseudomonadati; Pseudomonadota; Betaproteobacteria; Neisseriales; Neisseriaceae
Also listed under: 8 other names
Description: tRNA-Phe(gaa)
Rfam family: tRNA
About the family: Transfer RNA (tRNA) molecules are approximately 80 nucleotides in length. Their secondary structure includes four short double-helical elements and three loops (D, anti-codon, and T loops). Further hydrogen bonds mediate the characteristic L-shaped molecular structure. tRNAs have two regions of fundamental functional importance: the anti-codon, which is responsible for specific mRNA codon recognition, and the 3' end, to which the tRNAs corresponding amino acid is attached (by aminoacyl-tRNA synthetases). tRNAs cope with the degeneracy of the genetic code in two manners: having more than one tRNA (with a specific anti-codon) for a particular amino acid; and 'wobble' base-pairing, i.e. permitting non-standard base-pairing at the 3rd anti-codon position.
Source: RNAcentral
GGCCAGAUAGCUCAGUUGGUAGAGCAACGGACUGAAAAUCCGUGUGUCGGCGGUUCGAUCCCGCCUCUGGCCACCA